Molecule: ribosomal RNA, 255 nt
Filed under: uncultured bacterium
Lineage: Bacteria
Description: partial 16S ribosomal RNA
Rfam family: Bacterial small subunit ribosomal RNA
Source: RNAcentral
UACAGAGGGGGCAAGCGUUGUUCGGAAUUACUGGGCGUAAAGGGCGCGUAGGCGGCCUUCUAAGUCGAACGUGAAAUCCCCGGGCUCAACCCGGGAACUGCGUCCGAUACUGGAAGGCUUGAAUCCGGGAGAGGGAUGCGGAAUUCCAGGUGUAGCGGUGAAAUGCGUAGAUAUCUGGAGGAACACCGGUGGCGAAGGCGGCAUCCUGGACCGGCAUUGACGCUGAGGCGCGGAAAGCCAGGGGAGCAAAGCGGG